Molecule: ribosomal RNA, 531 nt
Filed under: Nothobranchius korthausae
Lineage: Eukaryota; Metazoa; Chordata; Actinopteri; Cyprinodontiformes; Nothobranchiidae
Description: partial 16S ribosomal RNA
Rfam family: Bacterial large subunit ribosomal RNA
Source: RNAcentral
CCUGCCCUGUGACACAGCUUUUAACGGCCGCGGUAUUUUGACCGUGCUAAGGUAGCGUAAUCACUUGUCUUUUAAAUAAAGACCUGUAUGAAUGGUUCAACGAGGGCUUAACUGUCUCCUUCCUCCUAUCAAUGAAACUGAUCUCCUCGUGCAGAAGCGAGGAUAAGCACAUAAGACGAGAAGACCCUGUGGAUCUUUAAAUACAAGAAUAGAGCAUGUUCAACCACUAGAGUAACUAGUGUCACAUAGUGAAUACUAUUCAAAUGUUUUUGGUUGGGGCGACCGCGGAGUAAAAUAUAACCUCCCUGAGGAAUGAAGAUACUUCUUCCAAGCUUAGAGUGACAACUCUAAGAAAUAGAAUGUCUAACCGCAAUGAUCCGGCAAGCCGAUCAACGAACCCAGUUACCCCAGGGAUAACAGCGCAAUCCUCUUUUAGAGCUCAUAUCGACAAGAGGGUUUACGACCUCGAUGUUGGAUCAGGACAUCCUAGUGGUGCAACAGCUAUUAAGGGUUCGUUUGUUCAACGAUUAA